GCGUCGGUGGUAUAACGGUUAGCAUAGCUGCCUUCCAAGCAGUUGACCCGGGUUCGACUCCCGGCUUCACGCG
This 73-nucleotide transfer RNA is filed under the name Trichonephila inaurata madagascariensis. RNAcentral describes it as "tRNA-Gly". The stretch from base 7 to 65 matches the Rfam family "tRNA", at positions 7 to 64 of the family's 71-position model. From Rfam's summary of the family: Transfer RNA (tRNA) molecules are approximately 80 nucleotides in length. Their secondary structure includes four short double-helical elements and three loops (D, anti-codon, and T loops). Lineage: Eukaryota; Metazoa; Arthropoda; Arachnida; Araneae; Nephilidae. The record is from RNAcentral.